Long non-coding RNA from Cannabis sativa, 426 nucleotides. RefSeq lists it as uncharacterized. The transcript is spliced from 2 exons. Lineage: Eukaryota; Viridiplantae; Streptophyta; Magnoliopsida; Rosales; Cannabaceae. The record is from RefSeq and is a predicted model, not a curated record.
AUGCGUUUGAUAUUGUCGUGGUUGAUAAUUUGCCACAACAAGAGGAUAGUGAUUGUGGUGUUUUUAUCAUAAAGUAUGCUCAUUUCUUCAUGCAUGGAUUGAUUGAUAAGAUUCCUAAGAAGUUGGACAUUGCAUUCACUCGGAAGAAGUUGUGUGUUGAUCUGUUUGUUCAUGCAAAGAAGAAGGAGUUGGGUGGGUACGAGUCUACUUCGGAGCAUCCAGGAAGGAUGCCAUAGUUUUAUGUAAUAGAACAACAUGUUGGAAACCUAGUUUACAUUUUUUUGAACUUUAUGUGUAUUUUUAUGUCAUGUUGUUUUGUUUUUAGGUUUAUGUUUGUGUUUGUUUAAGAAACUGUUUGGAACAGUAAUAUUUUAGGAGACUCUUGCCUAUUUUAAUUUUGAAGUAACCUUUUGGUUUACUGGCACA